RNAcentral lists this ribosomal RNA (468 nucleotides) under uncultured bacterium. Its description in RNAcentral is "partial 16S ribosomal RNA". It matches the Rfam family "Bacterial small subunit ribosomal RNA", at positions 28 to 507 of the family's 1533-position model. The record is from RNAcentral.
GACGAACGCUGGCGGCGUGCUUAACACAUGCAAGUCGAACGGAAAGGCCCUGCUUUUGUGGGGUGCUCGAGUGGCGAACGGGUGAGUAACACGUGAGUAACCUGCCCUAGACUUUGGGAUAACUUCAGGAAACUGGGGCUAAUACCGGAUAGGAGCUCCUGCUGCAUGGUGGGGGUUGGAAGGUUUCGGCGGUUGGGGAUGGACUCGCAGCUUAUCAGCUUGUUGGUGGGGUAGUGGCUUACCAAGGCUUUGACGGGUAGCCGGCCUGAGAGGGUGACCGGCCACAUUGGGACUGAGAUACGGCACAGACUCCUACUGGAGGCAGCAGUGGGAAAUAUUACACAAUGGACGGAAGCCUGAUGCAGCAACGCCGCGUGCGGGAUGACGGCCUUCAGGUUGUAAACCGCUUUCGCCUGUGACGAAGCGUGAGUGACGGUAAUGGGUAAAGAAGCACCGGCUAACUACGUG